UCCCAGCACAAAUUUCAAGAGUGCCUGAGC
This 30-nucleotide non-coding RNA is filed under the name Rattus norvegicus (Norway rat). Lineage: Eukaryota; Metazoa; Chordata; Mammalia; Rodentia; Muridae. The record is from RNAcentral.